ACUCAAAGGAAUAGACGGGGGCCCGCACAAGCGGUGGAGCAUGUGGUUCAAUUCGACGCAACGCGAAGAACCUUACCUGGGCUCGAACGGCCGGUCAACGGAGGUGGAAACAUCUUUACCCCGCAAGGGGGUCCGGUCGAGGUGCUGCAUGGCUGUCGUCAGCUCGUGUCGUGAGAUGUUGGGUUAAGUCCCGCAACGAGCGCAACCCUUGUCCUGUGUUGCCAUGCCGAAAGGCGGAACUCGCAGGAGACCGCCAGCGAUAAGCUGGAGGAAGGUGGGGAUGACGUCAAGUCCUCAUGGCCUUUAUGUCCAGGGCUACACACGUGCUACAAUGGACGGUACAAUGCGCCGCGAACCCGCGAGGGGGAGCCAAUCGCAAAAAGCCGUUCUCAGUUCGGAUUGCAGGCUGCAACUCGCCUGCAUGAAGCUGGAAUCGCUAGUAAUGGCAGAUCAGCACGCUGCCGUGAAUACGUUCCCGGGCCUUGUACACACCGCCCGU
Molecule: ribosomal RNA, 499 nt
Filed under: uncultured bacterium
Lineage: Bacteria
Description: bacterial SSU rRNA
Rfam family: Bacterial small subunit ribosomal RNA
Source: RNAcentral